GUGGAUUAGAUACCCUGGUAGUCCACACGGUAAACGAUGAAUACUCGCUGUUGGCGAUACAAUGUCAGCGGCCAAGCGAAAGCAUUAAGUAUUCCACCUGGGGAGUACGCCGGCAACGGUGAAACUCAAAGGAAUUGACGGGGGCCCGCACAAGCGGAGGAACAUGUGGUUUAAUUCGAUGAUACGCGAGGAACCUUACCCGGGCUUAAAUUGCGCUGGACAGAUUGGGAGACCAAUCCUUCUUCGGACCAGUGUGAAGGUGCUGCACGGUUCUCGACAGCU
This 282-nucleotide ribosomal RNA is filed under the name uncultured bacterium. RNAcentral's name for it is "partial 16S ribosomal RNA". It matches the Rfam family "Bacterial small subunit ribosomal RNA", at positions 773 to 1060 of the family's 1533-position model. The record is from RNAcentral.